ACAAUAGCUGAGUGGUAGAGCAUCUGCUUGGAAUGCAAAGGGCCACAGGUUCAAUCCCUGGCAUCUCCA
This is a non-coding RNA of Podarcis lilfordi (Lilford's wall lizard), 69 nucleotides long. NCBI's taxonomy places the organism in Eukaryota, Metazoa, Chordata, Lepidosauria, Squamata, Lacertidae. The record is from the annotation of a GenBank genome assembly.